RNAcentral lists this ribosomal RNA (368 nucleotides) under uncultured organism. Its description in RNAcentral is "bacterial SSU rRNA". It matches the Rfam family "Bacterial small subunit ribosomal RNA", at positions 526 to 896 of the family's 1533-position model. The record is from RNAcentral.
CGGAGGGUGCAAGCGUUAUCCGGAUUUACUGGGUUUAAAGGGUGCGCAGGCGGAUAUGUAAGUCAGUGGUGAAAUCUCCGGGCUUAACCCGGAAACUGCCGUUGAUACUAUAUAUCUUGAAUGCUGUGGAGGUAAGCAGAAUAUGUCAUGUAGCGGUGAAAUGCUUGGAGAUGACAUAGAAUACCUAUUGCGAAGGCAGCUUACUACGCAGAUAUUGACGCUCAUGCACGAAAGCGUGGGGAUCAAACAGGAUUAGAUACCCUGGUAGUCCACGCCCUAAACGAUGAUUACUCGACAUACGCGAUAUACAGUGUGUGUCUGAGCGAAAGCAUUAAGUAAUCCACCUGGGAAGUACGAUCGCAAGAUUG